GGAUGCCAAUUUGGAUGUUGCCGUCAACUCCUUUAGUAACUUAGCAGACACACGAAGGGGAGGUUGGGACUUUGCGUAUUAAUUAACUUGACAAAUAAUUAAAGCAAGAUCAAGGAGACGGAAGACUCUGCCGGCUUGAGUGUUAAACAGACAGAGGGUAAUUUAACAAAAUGAGGGUAACAGGCUGGUUGGAGAAUGUUUGGAAGCUAGCUAGCUAGCUAGAUUGGCUAAUUUAUUAGCUACCUGGCCCGAGACUAGGUGAGCUUGUUUGAGGAGAGCGUUGCGUUCAGGGUAAACUGGAGCUAUAUGGUGGCUGGGCAAGCAAGUGUCUACCUUUUCUAUGGGUCCGUAAGAGUCUGCGUUGCGAAAAUUUCCACAGAGCUCAUGUACCGGACUGCUAUCUGCUAUUUCCCGUUUGCUGCCACCGAGGGAAAAGACGGUUUUGUUGAAAGCUGAAAGUUGAAGGGAUCUCGCAACUUCUUCACCAAAGAAAUGGAGCAGACAUUGGCAAAAAGUCCCUCAACAGCAGCAGUCACAGUCGUUGAAGGGACAAAAAAUUGUCCACCUCUGCGAUACAGGAGGCAUCACUAGACUUUGCAUCGAUCGUCACUCCUGACUGGCAAAAACAAUGCUUUGGAGGCUUUAUGGGCAUGCCAUGCCAAGAACCAUCAUGCCAGGCGUAAUCUUUAAAGAUGUUCAGCAGCUGGAUUGACUGGAGAGAUCAGCCAGCCUCCAGACAUUGCAGUGUCAGCAACAGCAAGGCAAGUGCAAGACCUCUCAGCACUCCUACCAUUUACACUAGAUACAGGCGAAUAUUAAGAAGAAAUACACAUCUUUCUCUUAAAGCCCCUUCCCCUCUGUCACAUAGAGAGAAAGAUGAAUACAGAUAUUUGUAAGUGUAUACUCUACAUGUCUACAGAGACAUGUGAAAAGCCUCUGCAUCAGCACUCUUACCAUAAAACUGCAAGAUGCCUCAAGAGGAAAAUCAAAAUGUAAAAAUCAAUAGUCGGCUCUUUGUCAUGUUUGCAUUGCAUGCUGCAUUAAUUUUCACAAUAAGCAGCCAGUUGUGAUGGGAGUGCUUGGUACCAGGAACAACACAUUGAAUAAUACAAUAUAACAGUACUGAUUUUUAAGAGCAGUGCUUGCUUCAAAGAAGGAUGUAUUUCUGCCAAUUAAAAAAACGUCACAUUUAUUUGCUCUUGGUUGAUGUGUUUGUACAUGCUUUACACUAUUUGCAGAGUGGAUUAACUGACUGUGAGGAAGUGAGCUAUUAUGACACACUUCCACAGAUGGGCAAAAUGGCAAAAAAAAAAUUUUGUGAAGGGAAAAAAUACAUUAGGUUGAACAUGA
This is a long non-coding RNA of Seriola aureovittata, 1350 nucleotides long. RefSeq lists it as uncharacterized. The record is from RefSeq and is a predicted model, not a curated record. The transcript is spliced from 3 exons. NCBI's taxonomy places the organism in Eukaryota, Metazoa, Chordata, Actinopteri, Carangiformes, Carangidae.